UACGGAGUGUGCAAGCGUUACUCGGAAUCACUGGGCAUAAAGGGCGUGUAGGCGGGCUUUCAAGUCGGUUGUGAAAUCCCUCAGCUCAACUGAGGAACUGCAUCCGAUACUGUUUGUCUUGAGGACGAGAGGGGAGAGUGGAACUUCUGGUGGAGCGGUGAAAUGCGUAGAUAUCGGGAGGAACACCUGUGGCGAAGGCGGCCAUCUGGAAGAUUACUGACGCUGAGACGCGAAAGCGUGGGGAGCAAACAGG
This 253-nucleotide ribosomal RNA is filed under the name uncultured bacterium. RNAcentral describes it as "partial 16S ribosomal RNA". It matches the Rfam family "Bacterial small subunit ribosomal RNA", at positions 524 to 776 of the family's 1533-position model. The record is from RNAcentral.